This 154-nucleotide ribosomal RNA is filed under the name Fomitiporia langloisii. RNAcentral's name for it is "5.8S ribosomal RNA". It matches the Rfam family "5.8S ribosomal RNA". From Rfam's summary of the family: 5.8S ribosomal RNA (5.8S rRNA) is a component of the large subunit of the eukaryotic ribosome. It is transcribed by RNA polymerase I as part of the 45S precursor that also contains 18S and 28S rRNA. The record is from RNAcentral. Lineage: Eukaryota; Fungi; Basidiomycota; Agaricomycetes; Hymenochaetales; Hymenochaetaceae.
AACUUUCAACAACGGAUCUCUUGGCUCUCGCAUCGAUGAAGAACGCAGCGAAAUGCGAUAAGUAAUGUGAAUUGCAGAAUUCAGUGAAUCAUCGAAUCUUUGAACGCACCUUGCGCCCCUUGGUAUUCCGRGGGGCAUGCCUGUUUGAGUGUCA